This 253-nucleotide ribosomal RNA is filed under the name uncultured bacterium. RNAcentral describes it as "partial 16S ribosomal RNA". It matches the Rfam family "Bacterial small subunit ribosomal RNA", at positions 524 to 776 of the family's 1533-position model. The record is from RNAcentral.
UACGAAGGGGGCUAGCGUUGUCCGGAAUCACUGGGCGUAAAGGGCGCGUAGGCGGCCGAUCAAGUCGGGGGUGAAAGCCUGUGGCUCAACCACAGAAUUGCCUUCGAUACUGUUUGGCUUGAGACCGGAAGAGGUAAGUGGAACUGCGAGUGUAGAGGUGAAAUUCGUAGAUAUUCGCAAGAACACCAGUGGCGAAGGCGGCUUACUGGUCCGGUUCUGACGCUGAGGCGCGAAAGCGUGGGGAGCAAACAGG